Non-coding RNA from Pelobates cultripes (western spadefoot toad), 1302 nucleotides. The record is from the annotation of a GenBank genome assembly. NCBI's taxonomy places the organism in Eukaryota, Metazoa, Chordata, Amphibia, Anura, Pelobatidae.
AGACACUUUAUUUACAAGCAGCAGAGAUUGUAAUGCACUGGAUAUGUGACCUUCUCCCCUAACUUGCAUAUAUUAUAUAUAAGAAUGAAUAUUUAAAGACACAACAUCAGUCUAAUUAUUUUUAUUAUAAGAAGUUUCACAUCAACCAAUACAUCCUCCAGGCUCCAUGGUAAAUCUCUACCAGAGGCUAAUAGCCUACAAUUCCCAGAAUGAUCUAAAUGCAAUAGGUGGCCAGAGAGUCCUGGGAGUUGACUCAUGAGAUGCCUGGACUACACAGACACAGACUGGAAUACACAAACAACCCUUUACUUUACAAGGACUUGAAGGAGUUUUCACUAAACCAGUAAUUGGCAAUUUUGACCUGUAAUUUGAAAUACAUUGUUUAGUGAAUAAUUUAUCAACAGCCAUUAUUAUCUAACCAGUUUUCUUGGAAUAAUUCUCCAAGUUCACAGUGUUUUCAGUCUGGCUUAUUCCAGCCCAAAAUCUCAAACUGACCUUGAGUAAACUUCAGUAAUAGUCCUGAUACAGUCUGCUGAAUGGAUAGCAUAAUUGGUUUAAAUUGGUAAGUCAGAUAGAAUAAACUCCAGAUCUGGUUUCCUGAACGCUAGAUUUUAAAAUCUGCUUGCUUACUAUAUCGUACAGUUACAUGUGUAUAAUUAAUCUCAGCAGCCAUGAGAUGAUAACAACUUGAAGGCUUCUACAUUAAAAUAAAGAGAAUAGCAAAGGUGCAAGGAAAAUACAACACAUUUUCAAAUAUAACUAUUUGAGGUUAAAAUAAGCAGCUCCUGCUUUAGUAACCCUACGGCCACUAUUGCACAUUUUCAGCCUAAAUUCCCGAGCUGGACACAUUCAUAAUUUUUUUCCAAUUUGGCUAUUGCAGGGUGGAUACCAAAAAAAAAAAAAAAAAAGUGGCAGAGCUUAUCACAGAAUAGUUUCAGGAUAAAGAAAGGGGGGUAACCCCUGAAUUAAUACUUGAAAAACAGAGGAGAUAAUCCUGAAACCAAAGAGUUACCCUAUUAAAUUAAAACUUAACUUUUAAUAGUAUUUUAAAACAAAAUAAUAAAAUGGAAACAGAACAGAUGGUUGCGGCCAGAAAAAAACCAAAGUGUCACACUGCCAAACUUUUUCGCUUCGAUUAGAAUAGAGUACCCUGAUGUAUCUGCUAUCUUAUAACAAUUUAUCAAAAGUAACAUCAGGUGCUCCAUAAUACUUGCAAAAGAAUAAUAAGCGCUCUCUUCUCAGGGAUGAGCUGCAGUUCACCAACAAGGUGUUCCUCUACCUUGUGAUAAAUGGACAGAUAAA